Molecule: ribosomal RNA, 591 nt
Filed under: uncultured bacterium
Lineage: Bacteria
Description: bacterial SSU rRNA
Rfam family: Bacterial small subunit ribosomal RNA
Source: RNAcentral
GGGGGCUCGCACAAGCAGCGGAGCAUGUGGUUUAAUUCGAAGCAACGCGAAGAACCUUACCUAGACUUGACAUCCCCUGCAUAACCCAGAGAUGGGCGAAGUCCUUCGGGACAGGGUGACAGGUGGUGCAUGGUUGUCGUCAGCUCGUGUCGUGAGAUGUUGGGUUAAGUCCCGCAACGAGCGCAACCCUUAUCAUUAGUUGCUACCAUUUAAUUGAGCACUCUAGUGAGACUGCCCGGGUUAACCGGGAGGAAGGUGGGGAUGACGUCAAAUCAUCAUGCCCCUUAUGUCUAGGGCUACACACGUGCUACAAUGGUGAGUACAAAGAGAUGCAAGAUCGCAAGGUGGAGCCAAACUCAAAAACUCAUCCCAGUUCGGAUUGUAGGCUGCAACUCGCCUACAUGAAGCCGGAGUUGCUAGUAAUCGCGAAUCAGCAUGUCGCGGUGAAUACGUUCCCGGGCCUUGUACACACCGCCCGUCACACCAUGAGAGUUGGUAACACCCGAAGUCCGUGAGGUAACCGUAAGGAGCCAGCGGCCGGAGGUGGGAUCGAUGAUUGGGGUGAAGUCGUAACAAGGUAACCGUAAGGGC